CAAGAGGAUGAAUCCUCUUUCAAGGCACUUGAAGUGUAGCAAAGGAAGUGGGACGGAGAGCCGGUGCCAAUCAAGCAAUCUGUGAUGCUGGAGAUUCGAGGAAAAGAAGAGGAGGUCGUCGUGGAGACAUCGAUGUUGAGGCAAAAAAAAAAAAAAAAAAGACAAUCCAUCUCUGUUACUUUACAGGUCAUCAUAGCAGCUUAUAAAAUCAGGAUUGAUUUGUGCGCACAUAACCAGCAGUCAAAAAUUAUUAGGAAGAGUUAUGAUCACAAAGAUUUGCUCAGAGAAUGAUCUCCCCCCCCCCACCCUUUUUUUUUUUUAAAUCGGAGAUCCUCAGUGCAGAUAUUGAUCUCAGUGCAGAUCCUUUUGUUCCCUGAAGUAAUAAAGAAGCCUAUUGAUUUAUUGGUGGGCGACGCGUACCUCUUUGCCUCCUCCUCGUCUGUUUUGUUCCGCUACCUGGACCCCUGACACCUUGAAAAAAAAAAAAAGUUUGCUUUCGUGCAAGCUUUUGACGAUGCCACUGCUUCAUGCACAUCCAGAUGACGUGUGUCAUUACAAUCAAGUAUUGACCGUGUAGAGAGUUUAAAAAUCGGAUGUCUUAAAAUGUUUUAGUAACAAGCUGAAUUCGCAGCAGAUAAUAAGAGAGAUCCUUCUCAUUUUUUUCUCGUUUAUUUAUGCUUAUUUUCUCAGCAGUUUCCCCAUUUCCAUGUAGCUAUUCCACAGCUGUCCACAAGGAGGCGGAGUGGCACUGGUGGCAUCGAGUAUAGCGUUUGAGCACCGAGGAAGAAGACGUUCUCCUUCUGCGAUGACAAGGGCUCAACGUCUGUCUCUCCUGUUCUUGCCUCGCAACAGAAUGGAUGCCGCGUGGAGUGGCGCCUCAAAAAGGCCAUGAAUCGCGGCGAGCUGCUCCCUGCAAAGAGAGCGUCUUCGUCCCCUAAAGUCAUGUCAUGAGGUAUGCGGGCGUGCUGGAGCUUAUCUCAGCUGGUCUUGGGUUUAGUGGGCCGGGGUACACCCUGAAGUGAUUGCCAGCCAAUCGCAGGGCUCACAAAAACACAUCUCGGGACAAUUUAGUGUGUUCCUCAUUCCAUAUUUGUCAAAAUCAUAUGUCAUGCGCUGCUUUUCUCAAAAAACGUAUGUGCGGUAUGAUAUCGAGAGUAACGUCGAGUGCAACUGCGACCGGUCUCGAUAAACAAACAGAACUCCAUACGCGUGCGUUUUUGAGUGCCGUUUAAAAUCAGAUGACGACAACGAGAUAAGCGGUUUGGGAAAAAUCAGUCCGCCGGCCGCUUUCUGUUACGUGUGUUUUAAUAUCAAUCGAUCUCCAAAAUAGGGACACCUCUGCAUUCUGGGGGUUCAUGGCAAGGGCACUGUGACUGAAGCAAAAGG
Long non-coding RNA from Hippocampus zosterae (dwarf seahorse), 1386 nucleotides. RefSeq lists it as uncharacterized. The transcript is spliced from 2 exons. The record is from RefSeq and is a predicted model, not a curated record. Lineage: Eukaryota; Metazoa; Chordata; Actinopteri; Syngnathiformes; Syngnathidae.